RNAcentral lists this ribosomal RNA (616 nucleotides) under uncultured bacterium. Its description in RNAcentral is "bacterial SSU rRNA". It matches the Rfam family "Bacterial small subunit ribosomal RNA", at positions 169 to 803 of the family's 1533-position model. The record is from RNAcentral.
CCGGAUACCCCCGGGCGCCGCAUGGCGCCCGGGCUAAAGCCCCGACGGGAGGGGAUGGCUCCGCGGCCCAUCAGGUAGACGGCGGGGUGACGGCCCACCGUGCCGACAACGGGUAGCCGGGUUGAGAGACCGACCGGCCAGAUUGGGACUGAGACACGGCCCAGACUCCUACGGGAGGCAGCAGUGGGGAAUCUUGCGCAAUGGGGGGAACCCUGACGCAGCGACGCCGCGUGCGGGACGGAGGCCUUCGGGUCGUAAACCGCUUUCAGCAGGGAAGAGUCAAGACUGUACCUGCAGAAGAAGCCCCGGCUAACUACGUGCCAGCAGCCGCGGUAAUACGUAGGGGGCGAGCGUUAUCCGGAUUCAUUGGGCGUAAAGCGCGCGUAGGCGGCCCGGCAGGCCGGGGGUCGAAGCGGGGGGCUCAACCCCCCGAAGCCCCCGGAACCUCCGCGGCUUGGGUCCGGUAGGGGAGGGUGGAACACCCGGUGUAGCGGUGGAAUGCGCAGAUAUCGGGUGGAACACCGGUGGCGAAGGCGGCCCUCUGGGCCGAGACCGACGCUGAGGCGCGAAAGCUGGGGGAGCGAACAGGAUUAGAUACCCUGGUAGUCCCAGCCGU